This 1543-nucleotide long non-coding RNA is filed under the name Numida meleagris (helmeted guineafowl). Its description in RNAcentral is "lncRNA (ENSNMEG00000010508.1)". Lineage: Eukaryota; Metazoa; Chordata; Aves; Galliformes; Numididae. The record is from RNAcentral.
UUCCUUCUGGCUCACGGCCAAUGUACUACACAAAAUCCAUUAUUUUAAGGAUUGCUAAUGAUACAAACUAAGUGAUCCCAAAAGAUGGAACUGUUUGUGUAGUUUUCAUUCAAUUUGGCAAAAAAAAAAAAAAAAUGAGUCUGGGAUCUCAUUUGCUUUACAUUUAUUUGUGGGAAAUAUCUCAUUCUGGAUUUUUCAGAUCAGGUUGAAGAAUGCGUAAACACAUACCUGUUGAAAAACAAACAAAAAAAACAUUAAUAAAGGAAUACCAAUGUAUUUUAGUCUUUCCAUCAGAAUUUCUAUUUCAUCAUAAUCAAGUGUGAUUGUCCAAUGUUUGUAUCAGGUUUAAUCUCAGUAAAUUUUCUAACAUUCUAAGAUUAGGAAGACUUAAUCAAUUGCUAACUAUAACUUUAAAAUAGUUCUUAAAGUACUAAUCCUAUAUAUUUUCUUCAUGGAACAUCCUGUUUCUUUUCAGAGAGCACUGUGAAGCUCAUGGAAUCUUUAUUUAUCAGUUACAAGUCUAGUGACUGACAACUUAGAUUUAACUAGCAUCUCCAAGGAGUGAAAGAGUCCCUAAAAUGGAAAUGAAUUCUGCUGAUAUUUGAUGGGAAAAAAGGGAUGAUGGACAGAAGAAACCAGGAAGCUAACCUGAAACAUAUACUAAAGAAAGGAAGAUGUAAGAGAAAGCACCAAAGGGCUGGAUAACAGAAAUGGAAAUCCGGGAUUGCAGCCAGUGGACUUUUGUGCCGAAAGCCUUUCUAGCCUUCACAUCCACAAUGAUGAGAUUUCUAAGAUGAGGGAAACCCACAGAAAGGAUCUGAGUCAUCAUUUCUGGCCUUACAUUGAAGAGAUUUUUAGUGCAAACACAGGUACAAAUGGGACCACUUGAAUGACUGAGGAAACACCAGAACACUGGAAGAAAGGUUAUGGGAACUGAAAACAUCUUUGUCAGCAGGUUAUCAAGACCUGGCACGUUUCCAUGCAGCUUCUCAAUACCUCUGGGAUUAGCAGGAUAGCCUGUUCAAAAGACUCCAGCCAUCAGGAGGCAGCGAUAAGAAGGUGAGAACAUGACUGAAGCUUUAUGACACCCGGAUAAGAAGUAAAACAGUGAGCAGAUGACAACGACUCAUAGAAGUGGGAUGCGCAAGAGAGGUGAAACUUCCUAAUCACUGUCAGCUCUGAGUAGAAAAGACAUUCAAAGCCAGAAAUGAUUAUCAACCUCAGGAGGCACGUAAAAAUACAGUAGCCACUGUCUCUCCUCUGAAGCUUAGCUGCCGUGAUCAGUUGGACAUAUGUUCUCUGGUGUGAGAGACUGUGAGUAAAAGCAGUUUUCUUUUAAAACAAAACUACCUUCAGUUCCAGAGAGUUGCAGCUGGAGCUUUGCUGUGCUGUAUCUACAGCAUUGUCUUACUCGAUUGUGAGAUGUUGAAGGCCAAAGUUAGAAUCCUCAACAACCUCUUUGUUCUGACCCCGAAGCAUGUAAAAUGCCUGGAUGCCUCCAUUUAAGACAUUGUAAAGCCUACUUCUGCCUGGCACAGAGGUC